Molecule: ribosomal RNA, 172 nt
Filed under: Kocuria palustris
Lineage: Bacteria; Bacillati; Actinomycetota; Actinomycetes; Micrococcales; Micrococcaceae
Description: partial 16S ribosomal RNA
Rfam family: Bacterial small subunit ribosomal RNA
Source: RNAcentral
CCCGGGCCUUGUACACACCGCCCGUCAAGUCACGAAAGUUGGUAACACCCGAAGCCGGUGGCCUAACCCCUUGUGGGAGGGAGCCGUCGAAGGUGGGACUGGCGAUUGGGACUAAGUCGUAACAAGGUAGCCGUACCGGAAGGUGCGGCUGGAUCACCUCCUUUCUAAGGAG